RNAcentral lists this transfer RNA (73 nucleotides) under Bos taurus (domestic cattle). It matches the Rfam family "tRNA". From Rfam's summary of the family: Transfer RNA (tRNA) molecules are approximately 80 nucleotides in length. Their secondary structure includes four short double-helical elements and three loops (D, anti-codon, and T loops). The record is from Rfam by way of RNAcentral. Lineage: Eukaryota; Metazoa; Chordata; Mammalia; Artiodactyla; Bovidae. RNAcentral also lists the same sequence under 5 other names.
UCCCUGGUGGCUCAGAUGGUAAAAGCAUCUGCCUACAAUGCAGGAGGCCUGGGUUUGAUCCCUGGGUUGGGAA